RNAcentral lists this long non-coding RNA (4793 nucleotides) under Carica papaya (papaya). Its description in RNAcentral is "long non-coding RNA (CPAP_LNC008665)". Lineage: Eukaryota; Viridiplantae; Streptophyta; Magnoliopsida; Brassicales; Caricaceae. The record is from RNAcentral.
AACCGAAACGUCAAUCGUCAUCGGUGGGCACCAGUUGGAGAACAAUCUGCUCCAGUUUGAUCUGGCCACCUCAAGGCUUGGCUUCAGCUCUACGUUGCUCGGCCGGCAAACUACCUGCGCCAACUUCAACUUCACAUCCAACGCUUAGAGGAUCUUCAUCAUCAACAAAUUGCUUACCUACUAAAUUAGUAUUAUGUUUUUACUUACUGUAUUUCUUUGAUCUUUGUUAUUUGCUAUCAAAUAUUUGUGUGUGUGUGGAAGAUGCAGGAUGGGCAUACGUAAGUAUUUCAAAUAAACAAAUCACUCGUUUUAUCUGUCUCCAGUAAUAUUAUUUAUUAUUACUUCAUUUUUUUAACUUCUUAAAAUGAACAGUUUGCUAAGUUUUUUUCCUUGUUCAAAUAUAAAAAUAUAUCUCAUUAAAUUUCAAAAACAAAUUACCACGAAAAAUUGGAUGAAAAAUCAGCAUAAAUUAUAUAUGUUUAAUGAUUUAAUUAAAAAAUAAAAAUAAAUAGUAAUAAUUAACAUGUUUUUAAAAAAUAAAAAAAAAUAUUUAUUAGAUAAUUGAUAAUAAGGUUAAAUAUAUUUUUUUUAUCCCUUUACUAUUUUAUUUUAUUCAAUUUGAUUCCUAUCUUAUAUUACUUACUAUAUUUUUAGAAAAUAUUUAAACUAAUCUCUCAACGACAAUUAAUGUUUUUUACUUCUGUUACGAUUGCAUCUGCUUGAUUAUUAUACUAAUUGAGAUUAAAAUAUAUACUACAUAAAAAUUAUACACUUAAAAUAAAAAAUAUAUAAGAUUAAAAUGUAAUUUGCACCCAAAAUAUAAAAAAUAUAUACUCAAAAAGAGAUUAAAAUAUAUGAAAAAUAAUAAUAAUUUGUUAAGUGUACUAUUAAUUUUUGUUCAAAUUAAUUUUUACCUCAAAUUCAAUUGCAACAAAUCAAAAAAUAUCAUGUACUGUUAGAUUUGACAUGUGACACUAGUCUUGACAACUUACUAAUGAAUUAAAGUUAAUGAACAAAAUUAAAUUUUUUUAAAAAAUACAUAAACUAAAUUGACCAAAAAUUAAGGUAGUCUAAUUUGAACAAAAAUUAAUAGUAUAAGAAUCAAAUCAUUAUUUUUUCAUAAAACAUAUACAUAAAAUACCAAACAUGUACUCAAACAUAUCUCCAAAUUAUGCUCUUAUACUAUUUUGCUUUUUUCAUAUAAGUCCCUGUAUUUUUUUGCCUAUUUUAACUAUGUAUCCCUAAAUUUUUACUCUAUCACCUUUCAACUUUAACUACUGUUUGAGAAUUAUUAAUAGCUUGACAAAUGAUGGAUAAUAUGUCAAAAAUAGUGGACAUAAAGAAUGACACGAUGUAUGAUGUGGUAGUAACAUUAUAUUAGAAAAACUUAAAAUUUUAUAUAGGUUCUUUUUUUUCCAGCCAUAUCAGAUUUAAAAACUCAAAAUUUCAAUUGAGUCAUCUGAUUCCUUCAUUUAUUUUUGCAUUUUCUUUCUCUGAAACUCUAUACUAUUCAAUUUCUUUUGUCUAAACCCUUAUUCUAUCAAAUAAAUUUAAGUAAAAAAUAAUUGUUCUUUCUAAGUCAUGCACUGUUGUUGGUGUUUAUUUUGGAUUAUUCAGUUUAAAUUUCAAGAAAACAUCUUUUGUUUAAGAGUGUAUGUCUCAAUAUGCUUCUAUCUUUUCUAAAAGAACCAAAAUACUGAAUCCGAACAAUCAUGAUGUAUGGGUGUGUACGGGCUGUUACUUGAAUUCAUGUUUGAACUACUCGAGUUUGGAUUAACAUGAAAUGUAGAUUGCUUAGAGGAAGGACUUUUAAGAAGCUUUAACGAAAAAGAAGAUGCCCCAACAUGAUCAAUUGAUUCUCCUAAACUGGGUUAUGGCAUGUCAAUCAGUUUGUCAACAUUGAUUAGACUCUUUAAAUACACAGUUGGCCUCACAUGUACUUCUUUCUUUGUUGGCUUUAUACCAUAUCUCGACCAAAAUGAGAAAAAGGUUAGAAAGCACGAUGAGAAAUAAACAUGAUUUAUUACUAGAUAGCAUAAUUGUGAGUUAUCUUAUCUUGAAGGAAUAUGUUAUUUAUCAUCUAGUUUGUAAACUAUAAUAUCAAAUAGCCUUGAACCUUUUUUUCUUAUAGACAUAUUGGCUUGCCAAAUGAAAUACUUCUGCACCAACCAUAUUUACCAUGCUCCUAUAGCACAAGUAAAAACGUAAUGCACUCAUCUUCAAUCCUUGAACUACCUUUUUUUCGCUCGCAACUCAACGAAGAGUUGGGAAUAAGAUCCUCAAAGUUGUAUCCAUCACUGUUGUAUGACCCAAAAGAAUUUGUCCCUUAGCUUUCAAAGAUGGGAGAAUAAAGAAGAAGCAUUGUUUUGUUACUUUUAUUUUAUUCAUUGAUAAUGUAUGAUCUUAAAAAAAAUAAUUAUUUUGGACUAAAAUUUAUUUGACAGAAUAAGGACUUAAAUGGAACAAAUUAAAUAUUACAAGUACAAAGGAAGAAAAUGGCAAAAUAAAAGAAGAAAAUUGGGGAGACCCUGAUGGAAGUUCUAAAACAUGACGUAACUAACAGACCAUGCACUACGUCAUCAUGCAUGUGUCAUGUAUUUUAUAUGUCAUUACCCACAUGCCUAGCCAUCAAGGACCAUCUAACGGUAGUUAAGAUUGAUNNNNNNNNNNNNNNNNNNNNNNNNNNNNNNNNNNNAUUAUAAAUUUUAUAUUAUUUAAAUUUUUAAGACUGUAUUUAUUAUUCACAUUAAUUGUGUUUAAAUGAAUAGACAAUUUUAUUUUUAUUGAAAAUAAGAUACAAAUAAAUAUAAAUUUUAUUAAUAAACAUAUAAACUCAUUAUUAAUGUAUCAUAUGUUAUUAAUAUAUGGAUCUGGGGUCUGUCCACAAAUUAUGAAUUUAAUCUGCUUAAACACUAUAAUAUCUUUUAAAACAUAUAUACAUAUAUACACACACACAUAUAUAUAUUGUUCAUGUAUAAUAAUGCAAUCUAUGAGGCAGGAUUAGUAGUUUUGUGUGCCUGCGUGCGUGCGUAUGCAUAUAUAUAUAUGUAUAUAUAAGAGGAAGUUACGUACAUAUAUUCAUAAAAAAAAUAGUUAUAUAUAUUGUAAAUAGAAUAAAAUAGCCUUAUCCUAAUUAAUCACAAUUAAUAAUUUAAGUGAAACUAUCAAAAUGGAACAAAAACAUACAUCCACCUGGAUCUCCACGUGGAGGCAGUUGAUUAGUUGCCUUGCUUGAAUUGCAGCCUUCUUUGACAACAAGACUUGUCGGCUUCUGCGAGCUGGACCUUCUCUUUUAUAAUGCGGUAGGACAACCGUGCACGAACUAUAAAUAUCAUAUACCCAUUUCUCUCAUUUCACAGUAUCUGCAAGCUUCUAUUUGCACAUAUAUAUAUAUAUAUAUAUAUAUGAGAUUUUCUUUUUUGUACAUACAUCUUAGAAAAUGGUUACGUCUCUUCAACUUGUCAUCUUUUCUUCUCUUCUAGUUUUAUGCCUUGCUCCUUAAAACCAUUGGCUCAACAAUCUUUUAGGCCCAAGGCUCUACUUCUACCUGUCUCCAGAGACACUUCGACUCUCCAAUACACCGCUACUAUAAACCAAAGGACCCCUCUGGUAUCUCUCAAGGUCGUCGUCGAUCUCGGCGGCCAAAACUUAUGGGUAGAUUGUGAGAGAAAUUUUGCGUCUUCGACCUUCCGUCCUGCUCGUUGUGGCUCAGCCCAAUGCUCCUUAGCUGCAGCCACGGCCUGCUCCGGUUCCAAUACGUGCGGUGUUUUCCCAGAUAACACUGUCACCCGAACAGCCACAUUCGGCGAUAUCGGUCAAGAUGUGGUAGCAAUUAAAUCAACCGAUGGGUCGAAUCCGGGUCGGGUAGUUGUCGCGCCUGGGUUCAUUUUGACUUGUGCGCCAACUUUCUUGCUACAGGGUCUUGCUAGUGGAGCUAUGGCCUUGGCUGGUCUUGGCAGGACUAGAGUUUCUCUCCCGGCGCAAUUUUCUGCCGUCUUUAGUUUCCACAGAAAGUUUGCACUCUGCCUUUCAUCGGGAAACGGCGUCGUCUUCUUCGGGAACGGGCCAUACGUGUUUCUUCCCGGCACUGAAGAUUUGUCCCCAUCACUCACCUUCACGCCCCUUUUCAUCAAUCCGGUAAGCACCGCUUCUACUUUCUCAGCCGCUCGUCGGAGUACUUCAUCGGCGUGAAAUCCAUCAAGGUGAAUGAAAAGGUUGUCCCGUUAAACACAACUUUGUUGUCCAUUGAUAGCCAAGGAAUUGGAGGAACAAAAAUCAGCACUGUGAAUCCCUUCACGGUUUUACAGAGCUCAAUCUUCGAAGCUGUCACCACGGCCUUUGUUAGUGAAGCCGCCGCCAUGAACAUCAAAAGGGUGGCUCCUGUGGCGCCGUUUGAUGCGUGUUUCAGCUCUGAAAACAUAGUGGGUACUCGGCUCGGAGCAGCAGUGCCGACGAUUAGUCUAGUUUUGCAGAACGAGAAGGUGGUUUGGAACAUGUUUGGUUCGAACUCAAUGAUCGAAGUUAGCAGGGAUGUGAUGUGUCUGGCCUUUGUUAAUGGCGGAUUAGAAACCAUAACGUCCAUCGUCAUUGGUGGCCACCAGUUGGAAAACAAUCUGCUCCAGUUUGAUUUGGCCACCUCAAGGCUUGGCUUCAGCUCUACGUUGCUUGGCCGGCAAACUACCUGCGCCAACUUCAACUUUACAUCCAACGCUUAGAGGAUCUUCAUCAUCAACAAAUUCCUUUCCUACUAAAUUCUUAUAUGUUUUUAGUUACUGUAUUUCUGUGAUCUGUGU